RNAcentral lists this long non-coding RNA (37566 nucleotides) under Gossypium raimondii (Peruvian cotton). RNAcentral's name for it is "long non-coding RNA (GRAI_LNC003091)". The record is from RNAcentral. Lineage: Eukaryota; Viridiplantae; Streptophyta; Magnoliopsida; Malvales; Malvaceae.
UGAGGGAGGCAAAGAGUGAAGGUGCUCGUGGCGGAGGUCGUGGUGGGCGAGGAUAUGGACGUGGACGUGGUGGUAGUGGUAGUGGUGGAUACAGACGUGAUUUUGCAAAUGACGAGAACUUAUUCAGCAAUAAUGCUGUACCUGAAGAUGGAGAGAGUGGAAAACCCUCUGAAAGGCGUGGUUAUGGUGGUCCUCGACCUUACCGUGGUGGUCGCCGUGGUGGUUUCAGUAAUGGGGAAGAUGCAGAUGGGGAGCGACCUCGCAGGUUGUAUGAACGCCGUAGUGGGACAGGGCGCGGGUAAAAAAGGAAGCUUUUGUUUAACAUUAGCUUUGAUAUAUUCUGCAUAUCGGUAUUUUAGCCAAGUCUCAAAGCUGAUGUUUUUGUGUUCUGUUCAUGUCUGCAGAAAUGAGCUCAAACGUGAAGGCUCUGGUCGUGGUAAUUGGGGAACUCAAACUGAUGAACUUGCUCAGUGAGUUAUCUCUAGUAGUUACAACCACAACCUUCAAUUUUAUUGUAAAUCAAUAAAAUAUCACUUUGUUUCACUCUUCUUCCCUUAUUAUAAUCAUAAAAUGAAAAUGAAAUAUUGUAUUUUUAUUGUUAAGGGUGACUGAAGAAGUUGCCAAUGAAGGUGAGAGGAAUUUAGGUGAUGAAAAACCAGCAGGAGAAGAGGAUGCUAGAGAUGCUAACAAGGAGAGUGCUUCAAACGAGCCUGAAGAAAAAGAGCCCGAGGAUAAGGUAAGGUUAUUGACGUCUGCAACUUUUGUUAAUUAUAUAUGAUAGCUGCUAAUUUGGCUAUUACUUUGUUCAACGUUUCAUAUUGCAUUUUUAUAGGAGAUGACUCUUGAGGAGUAUGAGAAGGUGCUGGAAGAGAAGAGGAAGGCUCUGCAGGCUCUCAAGAUCGAGGAAAGAAAAGUAGAUGCCAAGGAGUUUGAAUCUAUGCAACAGCUUUCAAACAAGAAAAGUAAUGAUGAGGUCUUCAUCAAAUUGGUAAGACCCUUCGAUUCACUUUGAGAAAUUCAUCGUUAAUGACUCCAUCUUAUUAUUGGGAAAAUAUGUAGUAUUAAUCACUUGUUCCCUAUAAUUGGCUUCUACAGGGAUCUGAUAAAGAUAAGAGAAAAGAGGCUUAUGACAGAGAAGAGAGAGCAAAAAAGGUACUUUUACUUAUUUUUAUUGAUCUGUGUCAUAUAAUUUGCCUUCCCUUUUCCAGUUUGAACCUCAUUUGUGUGAUUAUUCUGUAUUUAAGGGACCUUAGUUUAUACUGAUGUCAAAGUCCCUUGAUUUAAGAAGUAGUCCUAUCUCUUCCAUGAUUAAAGCUUGCAUAUGUGCUUUCUCCUUUUACCGGUUUGUGCAAGUUUAUCUAUGGCUUGCGUUUAUAUUUUUUGCUGGCACGUACUGAUGAUCCCUAUCCAUGUGGUGGUGGUGGGUAGUCUGUCAGCAUUAAUGAAUUUCUGAAGCCCGCUGAAGGGGAGAGGUACUAUAAUCCAAGUGGACGUGGGCGUGGUCGUGGACGAGGUUCAAGAGGAUUCGGUGGAGGUAAUGCAGCAAGAGAUGUGGCAGCACCAUCCAUUGAAGACCCUGGGCACUUCCCAAUUCUUGGGGGCAAGUGAAGAAGGGAGAUUCCUUUAGAACCCGACAUAUGAUAUCCAUGGGUUUUAUUGGAUUUUUAGGUACUUUUAAAUUUUGGGCUGGGAAUAAGAUAAAUAAUCUGGUUUCCUGUCGCCAAAGGAUCUCUGAAUUUUAUGUAGUAAAAUGUAUGUUUCAGGGUUUUUCUCUCUUUUUGUUUUUUGGGGGUAUUGCCCCCACUAUUGUUAUGCUUUGAUCGUACUGCUCACUGCUCACUGCUCACUGCUCACUGCUCAGUUUUCUUUUGGAAUAGAUGGAACUAUUUUGCUACUUGUUUUCGAGCACUUUAGCAGUGUUUGCACCUGUUGCUCCCCAGAAUCUAAAGAUGAAUUAAUAGCGAUGCAGGGGAAGUAAAGCCUAAGAUUCUCUACCGUAGGGGUGAGCAAAAUUCGAUUCGACUCGAAAAAAUCGAAAAAAAUUCGAAUUUCGAGUUAAACGAAUCGAGUUAUCCGAAUCAACUCGAAUUUUUUUUCAAAUUUCGAGUUCGAAUCGAGUUGAGUUUUUGAAUUCGAAUAACUCAAAUGAUUCGAAUAUCAAACUAUAAUAUUUUACAUUUUUAUCUUAAACUCUUAAAUUUUUUUACUUUUCUCUCAAAAUUUUUACUCCUUCCAACUUACUCCCAAAUCUUUUACUCCUCUUCCCUCCCAACCUCUAAAUUUAUUCAAAAUUUAUUUCCCACCAAAAUUUUACUCUCCUAUUUAUUUUUUCUUAAAAUUUUACUCUGAAAAACCUUCAAAAUCUUUUAUUUUCCCUCAAAAUUUAUACUUUCUCGUACUUUUUUCCUAAAACUUUUAUUCUUUUCCCAUUCCACCUCUCAUCUACCCCAAACCUUUCCCUCUUCAAUUUUUUUAAAAAUAUUUUCCCUCCAAAAUUUUGCUCCCCUAUUUAUUUUCCCUUAAAUUUUUAUUACUCAAAACUUUUUAUUUUUUCCUUAAACUUUUACUCCUCUCCAUUUACUCUUAAAUAAAAAUCAAAAUUAUCAAAAAAAUCACUAAAUAUAAAUAGUAAUAAUUUUAUUUAUAUCUACUAUUUAUAUUAUUAAAUUAAAUUAAAUUUUACAUUUUAUAUUAUUUAUAUUAUUGAAUUGUUUAGUCAUAUUGAAUAUUUAUAUUAAAAUUGAAUUCUUAAUUAUGCCAUAAAAUAUUCGUGUUAAAAUUUUAUAUUAGUAUCAAUUUCACAUUUUAUUUUUAAAAUAACUUUUAUUAAAAAGUCAUAUUUUUACAUUUAAUAUAUUUUUUAAUUCCAAAAUACAUAGUGACAAGAAUUUGAAGAUAAUUGAAACAACUAAGCAAGCAAAGAAGCUAACCAGUAUAUAAAAAAUUAAUAUAUAAAUUAUAAGGUGAUGAAAGUUAAUAAAAAUUUUGAUUAAGGUGGACAAAUUUUAUUACGAUAGGUUAUAGUGGUUAUAAGGACUCAAAAUUAUUUUUUAAAAUUUAACUCGAACAAAUAUAUUCGAUUCGAUUCGAUUCGAAUUCCAUCUCACUCGACUCGAUUCGAGAAAACUUCAAAUAAAGUUAAGAUGAUAAAAUGAGAUUCGAAAACUUGAUUAACUUGAAAAUUUUCGAUUCAAUUCGAUUCGAUCGAAUGCUCACCUCUACUCUACCGUACUUCUGCCAUGGCUGCAUUGCAUUGUCUCGACUCGUCUUCCAUGAGAUGAGAUGAAGCCAAAUGCUUUUAGAUCUUAAUCGUCAAUGCAUUUGAACAUCUGAUUACUGUUUUCAAAUCAUAUUGUUUUACAUAAUCUUUAAAUCAUAUUGUGUAAAAGCAUAGACGCAAGCAGCGACAUCAGCAACAACAUCGAAGCUUAGAAAGUUGGAUCAGAUUAUUGUCGGAUUUGCGUCAUGAAUCCGCCUUGUUUGCUAUUGUAAGUUGUACGUUUCAGGGAAGGGUUGCGUGGUUUAGAUAACAUAUGAAUCAAAUUUUUAUUGUUGGCUUACCUACUCGAAUUUGAAGUUAAAUAUUUAAAAUAUGUGAAUCAAUUUUUAAUUAUAUCUAUUUAUUACACAGACAGUUUGGAUGUGAUGAGUAAUAAAAUAUUUCUUUUAAAUUUUAUUAUAUUAUUCGUUUUUUUAAUACGUUACUUGUCGAUUAUUCAAGUAGUAUGUACAUGUAUGUUUAAACUUUGAUCUACAUAUUUUAAAUACGUUUUAUAUCAAAUUUGACUUAGAAUUUAAUGCUUAAUCUGACAAUUAAGUUAAUAGAAAGAUUUUAUUAAUACGAUACUAGUAUUUUGACUACUAAAUUAAAAAUAUGAUGAGAGUUAAAUAUUUAACAAAAGCAAUAGAAAAUCAUGGAAUAAAAUAAGAAUAUGUAUUAAUUAUAACCAUAAAGAAUAUUGACAUUAUAGCCAAUAACCUUGUCUAAAUGGGAAAGUCAAAUCUCCUAAACAAAAUUUAAAUAACAGAUCACCUACGAAACUAAAACAAUCCCUGCAAUAUUUGUUGAUACAAAUAAUUAACAAAGAGGAGAUGGAGGGGAGUGUCAAUUCACCUGACAAGAGAAGGGGAAUGGGAGAAAGUUUGGUUGAUGUUUAGGGUUUUUGUCUACGAAAGGAGAGAUUAUUGGUCUCUCGUGCACUUGGAUAUAUAUAGGGGCUCACCCAUUGUAUUGUUGUGCCACGUAGCCGACAACAUUAGGGUCUGUAUGGUUAUGUGGUCCUGCUCAGACAUACAGUGUACUAUGAGGUCCUACUCAAACAUUCUUAUCCUUGACAUUUUACGAGGUUGUUACAUCUCAAUAGUCUCCACGAAGGGUAUACAACGAGUGAUCCCCACGAAGGGUGCGUAGUGGGUUGUUUCUAAGUUGGUUUGGACAGAAAAUCUGCAGACCAUCCUAAGCGAAGGGUCGUUACGAACAGUCCCUAGCGGAGGGUUGUCAACAGGUUGUUCCGUACCUUGCCAUGUGUCAUGCUCUUGUAAGGGUAUAAUAAUUGCCUCCUAGGCAAGAGGUAGUUUACAAAGUGGCCUGCCUUGAGACUAUUUAGUCAAUAGCUAUAACGGAGAGUUACCAAAGUAAGCCAUGUAAUGGAAGGGGUGGAAGAUGAAAAGUUGUGAUGCUUACGCGUAUUGAGAACGCUUUAGGAAAAAGGGGGUGCACUGAAUAUUCUAGAAAUUGUGCAUUAAUGGUGGAGCAUUGCAACUAUUCUUUGGGAAAUGACGCCAAUGAUGGGGUAGACUUUGUGUCCUUUUGUGGGACACAGUCUAGUUGGGUUGCUCCGUGAAUUAUUAGGUCUGCUAGAAUUGAAAUGCACCAUUUUGAGAAGUCCCUUUAAAAGAGGCUUAAGGGUUAUUUGCUUCAUCUUCAAAAUUUCCUAAGUGUUUAAGCCUUCAAGUUUUCCGGUUUUAUUUUUCGUUAUUUAAAUUUUCUAAGUGUUUACUCUUCAUUUUCUCUAUUAUUCUCAUCUUCUUUCACUUUCAUUUUUUCACCACAUUUGCUUGCUCAGAGUUAGGGCGUAUGUUGAGGGUAAGGCUCAAUUUUUGAAUCUUUCCUUUUCUUUUUGUUUUGAAUUAGCACCGAUAGCCAAAGGAAAUAAAGGAGAGGAGAUUGGGCCUUAAGAGGCAGUGGCUAAGAAGGUGAAAAAAAUUCCUAGGUUAGAGAGAGAUGUGGUGGUGGUUGGCACUUUUGAGUGCACCAACAGGACAAAAGAGAUGACUCGAUUACUCCGAUGCUGAGGGCUGGAGCCGAAGCACUAUCGAUAUGAAUUCAAUAAUCUAAGGGGUGAGUUUUCUCUAAGUGCAAUGAGUAGGCCUAACCAUAGGGGAAAGAUGCAUGGGUUUUACUUGUCGCUAUAUGUGUUAGAGGCAAGGUUUCAUCUUCCACUUCACCACUUUGUAUGUGAGAUUCUUAAUUAUUAUAGGAUAGUUUUGGGACAAUUAGCAGGGUUUUCAUGGUGGAUAAUAAUUGGGUUUUUGUUGUUGUGCUGUGAGUGUGGGAGGGGGGAGAGGUCCCCCACUAGUUGAACCAAACAACUCACCCCAGGUUGUGUACCUCACAAAGCAUCAAAGGCCCUCUGGUAGAAAAUUUGCUCUAUGGGUGGGCCAGCAACUUGAGCCUAGAUAGACAGACACAAGUACAUUGUAGUGACCCGAAAGUCAGUGGUGUUGGAAAACGCGAUUUCGAGAUCUCAUUUCUGUAAAUUGAGACCGUAAAUAUUUACGGAUGUAUAUUGUAGAUUAAUUGAAUUUUGGAUAGACAAUUUUGUUAAAUUAGAGUUUAAUUAAGGUAUAGAGACUAAAUCAUAAAAUUGGUAAAAAGUUUUAUCACUAAAGAAUUUAAUAAUUAGAAAUAAGGAUAGGGACUAUUAUGGUAAUUAUACCGUCUAAUUAUUAUUGUGGCUAAUUUUUAACUAAGGUAUGCAUUUAUAUUAUAAAAAUUUUAGUUUAAUUAAAAAUUACAAAUAAAACAUAAAUUAAAAAGGAAUGAAAUAUAAAUAGUGGAGAAACAAAAUAUUUCCUAUUCAUUUUCCAUUCAUGCAGCCCAGAAACAAGAAAAAGAAAGAAGAAGUUUGGCCUUAGGAUUCCAUUUUUAAUGCUUCAAAUUGGUAUGUGCAAUUUAAUCAUUUUCUUGUAAAUUUUAUGUUUUUGGAGUCCCAAGAGCUUAAUCUAGAUGAAUUGUAUGUUAUUUUUUAGAAUUUUUAAAGUUUUAGAAUGAUGCCAUUGAUGAAUCUUUGAAGUUUUAGAUACUAAAUUGAUAGAUUUAAAGCUUAGAAGUGAAAAGGGACUAAAUUGUGAAGUUAAUUUAUAGUUUUGUAUAAUAGAGACUAAAAUGAAAAAAUUUUAAAAUUUAUGGUAGAAAUUAGAAACAGGAAGUCCUAAUUGGACUAUAGUGAAAAUGAAUUGAAAAUAUGAGUUCUAGAUUGAAAGUUAUGUUAGUCUUAGUUUUAGGGACUAAAUUUAAUAAAAUGUAAAAGUUAUAUAAAUUUUCAAUUUAGUGUGAAUUUGAUUGUGUAUUGAUGAAUUAUUAUUGUGUUUAUAUUAAUCCGUAGCUAACGUCGACCUGGAUUCCUAAAAAAAGAAAGGAAAAGAUAAAAUUAUCGACGAAUAGCUUAGAGUUUUCAAUUUGUGUUUCUAUAAUCUGAAUUGUCUCAAUUGUUGCAUGUAUGAACUUCGUUGUAUGGUAAGAUCAUAAGGUGAGUUACAAUUGAUAAAAUGGGUUGAAAUGAUUCGAUACGAAUUGGUUGUCUAUGUUAAGGACUGAAUUGAAUAGAUUUAAAAAUAUUAUAUAUUGUUUUAAAUGUGAAAUUGUAUCAAUUUUGUGAUGAUUUAUGUUGAUAUAUAUAAGAAUUGUUGAUUGGUUGAUUGAGAUUAUGAAAUGGAAAUUGGGAAUCGAUUAUAAAUGAAUGUGAGAAACUUGUUACCCUAUUGACUGUUCGAGCAGGGUUGGGUAUAAUUGGCAUGCCAUAGGAUAGGAAGAGUUUAGGGUUUUUACGACUACGAGUUGAGGUGAGAUGGGCACACCUAAUUUUCGGUUAUACCAACCAACGCUGGGCGCAACUUACCAUUUCAGAUUUAUCCGAUUGGCACUAGGUGUUAAAUUGGUGUGAUUGGUUGAAUUUGUGUAUCCGUUCGAAUCCGAGUCAGUUUAAUAGGGGUUAAAAGUGGAAAUAAAAAUAAUGAAUUAUGAAAUAAAUUGAUAAAAAGAUCGAUGAUAUUCAUUUUUAUUGAAAGCUUGGAAUUGAGAUAGACAUGUGGCAAUAUAUUUUGUUGAGACGUUAACUAUGUUAUAAAAUGCAUUCGAUAUUAUAAUGGUAGUAGAUAUGAUGAAAAUGCAUUGUAUAAUAUUUGGUUGGUAUAUACACGCUAUGAUCUUUGAACCAUAACUUUAUACGUUUUCUAUUCCGUUUUAUUAUUCGAAUUAUGGAAAUACCAUUGAGUUCAUACUCAACGUACGAUAUUGUUUAUUCAUGCGCAAGUUAGGUGUUAGAUCAUAUACGUUUGUUGAUAUCAACAUCCAUUCGUGAUCUCGGACUUAUCAUGUUGGUGAUACUUUAGUUAGUUUGUUGGCAUGUACUUAAGGGGUCUUAUACCUAUAUUAUGCUAAUUGGAUAAAUGUUGACAUUUUGGCAUAGUUGGUGCAUAUGUAAAUGUUUACUAUUAAUGGUAUGGAUCAUGUGUUUAUAAAUGUGUUGGAUGCGCUUAAAGAUUAAAAGGUACAAUGCAAGCUAGUAAAUAAACGAGUUAUAUUGAAUGAUGAUUAAUAGUGAAAUGGUUAAGUAAAUAGCAUGUUAACGUUAAUAUGAAUUGGUAAGAAAAAUGUUGGUUAUGUUAAACAUGAAAUGGUCAUUUGUUGAUAGAUGAACAUGUAUUAUGGAUGAUUAAGUUGAAUUUGGUAAUGUUUUUUAAUGUGAAUUGAUAUGUUUUAGGUGCCAUUUGAGGCAUAUUGGUAUUUUGAUUGUAUGUGCUAUGAAUGUGUCAAAUUGGUAUGUUUUCUAUUGAAUUUAUGCAGGUUUUGAGUAGGAAUUAUUGUGCAUUUGAACAUAGGUUAUGCUUUGAAUAUGGUUAAACAUGAACUAGGCCCUAGAUGACAUAUUUUGUGCCACACAGUUUGGCCACACAAUCGUGUGUCACACAAGGGUUAGUGACACGACUGUGUGCCACUAAAAUAUAGGAUGUAUAAGAAGCACACGGUUCCCAAUUGAUACAGGGGCUGGCCAUACGCCCAUAUGACUACUGUAGUUAUGGUCAUUUAGUUUUCACACAGUUUCAAUUUGUUACACAGCCCAGCCACAUGGCCAUGUGACUUUUGUUGAAUAUUUGCAUUUUGACCCACACGACCAUAGUGAGUUACACGGUUUGGAUACAUGGUCGUGUGACUCCAAUUCUACACGGUUAUAGGUUGUUACACGGUUGUGUGACCCCUAUUUUGCACAAUUGCCCUUCUUUUUUGUAAAAGUUUCAAAAUGAUUAUUGUUUGAUAUCGGGUCAAUUUAAGAGCUUUUGUAAGCUCAAUUUAAACCAAAUUUUGUUUGCAAAGUAUGAUUUAUGUGAAUGUUUGUAUUUAUUUAAUGUAUAAUUGAUUUUUUUAUGAAACACGUGUAACUAUUUUGUUAAUUGUUGUAGCAUCUUGCCACUCGAGUCUGACGACCGAACCGGGUGAGGGGUGUUACAUACAUACUUGUGGAAUUAAAUUUUGGGGAUAGCUUUGAUUUCCUAAUUGAGUGGCCCAUGCAUUCAAAUGAUUUAUGUAACUUUAAGCCUUCAUUAGAAACUUAUGAAGGAGGCUGAAAAGAAGUUUAAUGACUUGAGAAUGGAGGGUUUCAUUGUGCUACCUUAUGAUAUAACCAUUCAUAGAAUUUGAAACACUGUCUUAGUUGAGUAAUUCCAUUUAGCUUCCAUAAUAUUGACUUCUAGUGAAGGUUCACCAAUAACGGUAUGAGGGCGCCCUAUACCCAUGCCUAGCCACACAACAGUGAAUAUGUGGUGUAUGGGAUUUUGUUUGGCCUAGAGGAGAAGGCGUAGUUGUAUAUAGUACAUUUUGGACUAUGUCUUGAUCGUAAGUGAGGGGCCUCUAAAGGCGUAACACAUGUAACAUUAUUAGACCCUUCUAAGGUUGAAGAAUGACAAUAUAAUAUAGGAAAUAGGGUCUAAAAGUUGUCUAGGGGUCUGGGGCUAAUGCACACACUACCGCGAAGCAUAUUAAUGCUAGCAUUAUUGCUGGUGCAAGAACCAGUUGAUCAUCCGUGGCACGUUCUUACUCUUAGGCUUUAGGUGAGGAAAUAACUUCUGCAACUUCCACUCUUGUGAUUGAAAUUUCCUCAGAUGGGGAGGAAGCUUCUUUCAAUAUCCCUACAUUGGGAAUGGCUAUAUAUGUGCAUACCCUUUGGGAAUUCAUUAACCAGUAGAAGGAGUGGGAAAAUAUGUGCUAGAGGGCUCAUAUAAGAGGGCUGAGAAUUUUAGUUGUACCUUCUCCACAACUAUUUUAUUUUUAUAACUUGUGAAUUUGAGUUUUUGCUUUAGGUCUGAUUGUUUGUCUUGCUUGUGUAGCUACUUCAACAGUCACAAUCGAAGGGAUGUAUGCUAAUUUUAUAGACUGUUAUUCCUGUCCCCAAUAGAAAGAGAGCUAACAACCCUUCAAGUAAUCAAUUAAAAAGGGGUAGGACCAAAACUACAAUGGUUCGUUCCUGCGAGGUGGUGAUCAAUAAGCCAUAUCCUACUACAACUAAUCCCAACACACUCAUUGUGACGAGCCAAGGUGUAUUUGGGAUCCUUUUUAGUGAUUAUGUGUUGGGAUUUAGUGCUCUUAGUGUAGUUAUUUCAUCAUAGAUAUAUUUGUAAUUUUUCGAAUAGAUUGGUUUAGAUAAAAUUCCAUCAUUCACAUUUUUAUUUUUUGUAUUUGUCCUCAAUGGUUUUUACAUGCAAAACAAAAUGUAUAAGCAUAUAUUGGCUCACUGAUUACCUUACGUUUGACUAAUAUUAACGUACAUUAUGUGGUUGGAUCAUAAUGCAAGAAGACAACUUAUAUUAGUAGGUAAUCUAAAUGGUUUGUAGAUUGAGUAAAUCAAUUCAAGACUACUAUGUUGUUUAUUAAGUCUAAUUGGGGGAUACCUUGUCUUACGAUUGGAAUGGAUAACUCUCAAAAGAUAGAGACAUAAAUGUAACUGACUAGACUGACAGUAAAUCGGAUUGGACCCAAGUAGAGUAGAUCCUAGAUUUGUUUAUGGAUUUAUUCACUUAUGACAUUCAUAGUGUGACUUACCUCAAUCCCAAGCAAGUGAUACAUUGUGUGUGCAUGACUCGUGUACUUUGAUGUAUUGUUAACUUGUGUUCAAUUAGUAAUAGAUUCGAAAGUUGGUACGUUGGAUAUGCAGCUUUUGCAUAACAUAGCUUCACGUACAAUAGUAGAAUUCAUAACCCAAUAAAGAGUAAAUGAUAUCCUCUCAUUGGCAUUACAUAAUAGGUGGGAAACGAGUCAUUUGUCUUAAGAUGAAUUAUUUAAUUACUAUUUGUUAGUAAUUUAUUUUUCAUGAAGUAAGAUGUAAUGAUUAUCAGGAAAUAAAAUAGGAUUAUAUUGAGAGAACAAAUUUAUCCCAAAGAGAUUAAAGAUAUCCUAUGAGGGUACCACAUAUGGCAAGGUCAUUGGACGAACAUUUAAUAAAGCAACUUUUGUAAUGGUAUAUAAUACGGAGAGCUCAAUCAUGGGACUUUAGUGGAAUGACUUCAUGAUUAAAUAAUGUUGUAAUUAAUAGACAAAGAUUUGGAACUUAAUUAAAAAUUAUUUGAAUCCUAAUUAUAUAUGUCUAGUCGGUUCCUCCGUUAGCUAGAUAUAACAUUGAUGGUUUACAUUAAUUGAUGAAAUGGAAACAUGUGAAACAAUGGACUAGAGAAAUAGAUCGCAUGUAUCAUUAUCUGCAGUGAAUACGUCUUCUUGCAAUAAACAAGAAGUGACUCAAAAAUUAAUUUAUAUAUUUGAAUUAUUUAUUUAAUUAUUCUAAAAUUAAAUAAUUAAAGUUCAAAGAAGAAAUUAAAUUAAUUCAAUCAACAUAGUUUCUUAAGAACAAGAUUAAUUAAAUUAAUUUACUAAAAUUUUAAAAAGGUAAAGUGGUUAUGACUUUCAUUGAAUUAACUUUGGGUUGAGAAAAUAAUUUAAUAAGUAUAAUUAAUUAGAUUAAAUGAAUAAGUAAUAUUUUUGACAUAAGAAAAUAUUUAUUGGUUUUGAAAUAUUUCAAUAAUUAUCCCACAACUUCCUUCAUAUCUAAGUAAAAUAAUCACCUUGGUCUCCAAGUAAAAAGAUAAGGACAAGUAUAAAGAUAAGGAUAGAAUAAAGCAUAGCUUGACAAUAAUUUGCGAAUAGUGUAACAAUCAUGAAGAUCAAAGUAAAAAAAUGCCAAUUUUAUAAUGUAGUUGAACUAUCUUGAAGACAUAUCCAAACUGUUGUUCAAAGGUUUGUCCAAACAACUGUUCAAACAAGGACAAACCAUGGUGAUAAAACAUGUAAUUCGAGAAACUAUUCAAACAUGAGAAGAUACUUCAAAUACAAGACAACUAAGAUCCCAACAUUUUUCAUCUUUCUAUUCUUUCACCAUUCAAUUUUCUAUCUUUUUUAUUUCCUUUGUUCUCUACCAAGUAAAACUAUUUGUCAUUACAAAGGAAACACAUGCCCUUGGAUUCUAUUUUGCCGCUGGGCAUCCCAUGAAUAAGUUGAAUUUGGGUGCGUUGUUGGCUAAAAGGAUGGUGGAUUGGUGCUUGUGGCUGUUGGUAGGUUACAGUAGUUUAGCCUCCACAUGAUAGAGGAAUUCAAGUAAUAUUGUUGGUGUUUGACCUUGAGGAAGUGGACCAACAGGGCCCUUGUGUCAUAUAAUUGGAGCUUAAUUUAGGCAUGAUACACCAUGGGAGGCUUAUGUACCCUUACGUUAUGUAAUUAUCAACCAUGGCAUAAAGAAUUAUGGUCUAAUUAAUUCUGCUAGUCAAAUACUUUCUGGAAAUUAUAACUCUUUGCAAUUACAAAAAGUAUAAUUCAAUUAUUUUGCUUUCAAAAUCCAAUCACUGAAAAGUAAAAUCUUUCCAACGCUUUUUCUUUGUUCACAAAAUUUGAACUCAAGAUAUUAAUUUAUUCAACCCAAUAUUGGUCAUUUUAAAGUAUUUUGUUUAAAAAGUCUUUGUACUCUUUUAAAAUUUAAAAUUAAUUAUGUAUUUUAUUUUUGAGAUAUUAAAUCCCAUUACUUUUUUUAUUUAAAAAUUAUGGUCUCUCCAUUUAACUAUUACUGAUGUGAUAAUUAGAAAAUAAAUAUAAUAUUUUUUUAACUCUCAAUAUUUAUAAUUUUUUUAUUAAUUUAAUCAUUGCUCUUUAAAAGUUAAUACUUUUUUAUUAUAAUUUAUAUAAUCUUCUUCCUUUCUACGUAAGUAUCUGUUACACUGCAACUCUUUUUACUGCCAUUUUCCCGCAUAUCUUCCUCUCAUAUUACUUUUCUUUUCAUAAAAAAUAAUAUUAUAUAAUUUUCAUUGUACAAUUAAAACCUUAAAUUGUAAAUAUUAAGGGCUAAAAAAGUUAUUCUAUCUAUUUUAUAAUCGUCAUAUCAACAAAAUUAAUGAAAAAUGGACAAAGGGAUCAAAAUUUUUAAAUAAAAAAGUUGUUGAGUGUUUUUCCGUUCUGUCAUAUUGAAGGGGACAAUCAAAUAUUUAUGCACAUGAUUAUUAUUCAUGGAAUUGAUAUUCUUGGUAAGCUCUAUACAUGCUGGAUACGUUUAUUGUUCUGGUUUGCUUGCUAGACUUCGUAGCCCCCACAUGCGAACUCCUUGCACAUGUGAACUAGGAGAGCGAACUACCCUUGCUAGCCCCUCUGCCUUACCCCCACUACAAGACCUGCAUGCAUCCAAUUGGUUGGGCCUAACCGGGUCACAGGUAGGUGAUCCAGAUUUUAUCUGGGUUUCGGGUUGGUGAUCACAAAUACGUAACAAUCUAGUCCCCCUAUUGAAUUUAAAGAGGGUUAUAAAGUGGCACUCCUUAGAGCCAUCACUUCGCAUUUAUACAACUUGUUGAAUAAGCGACCACUAAAGCAUGACGUUAGUCUCACCACAUGUACGGAGGGUUAUAAAGUGAUGUUCCUUAAAGCUAUCACUUCACAUUUAGACAGUUUGUUGAAUACGCUGCGACCACUGAAGCAUGGCAUUAGCCUAGCCACAUGUGCGGGUGGAUCAUGUCUAUCUGCAUCUGGUCGUUGGUGCUCAUCGGUUAUUUGAACCGUCAAAACACGGGAAAGAGAAACUCUUUAAAAAUAGGGUUUCAAAAGCCUUAAAACUCACAAACUUAACACUUUCUGCAACCAGAGUUGAUCGAGGCUUUUCUUUAAAGUAAAUCUUGUUAACUUCUUCGUUUUAUAUUUUAACUUUCUUCUUCUUCUUCUUUUUUAUUGAAACUAUGUCAAGAAUGAGAGGGACUGGUGGUCGAAUAACUCCCAGCUAUCCACCAUGAGAGCGUGCAACAAAAGUCUCUGUAGAAGCCAACUUUUGCAUCUGCACUGCAAAAGAAGAAGAGAUGACUCAGGCUUUAGCCAUGCGAGGGAUUAAAAUCCCCAACUUCACUUACGACUUCCCCAUUCUUAAGGGGCCACAUAGGUUGAGUGACACUAGUGAUGGUAACUUACUGCUCCCCUCCACGUUCUAAAAGCUGGAUUCUAUUUGCCCUUGAACCCGUUCUUCUGUCAUCUUCUCCAAUAGUACAGGAUCGCUCUUGGUCAGCUUUCUGGGUUUUCUUGGUGGAUCGCAGUGGCUUACUUCAUCGACUGCUACCGAUGCAAUGAAGUGUCACAGUUGCGGUUUUUCAACGUUUAUGUUUGUUGAAAGCCCAGAACUAAGGGAAUUUACCGGGCUUCUACUAUUUCUCUCCUCACGAAUAGGUUAAGACUAUAAUCGCCAACUGAUGUUUUAAUCUUCGACUGAAUCGAGGGAAAUGCAUUAGGGUGGAAUGUAGGCUCAGCGAUUGGUUUGGUUUGCCAACAGAGUGGUCGCACCAAACAGGGACGUGUCUAUUUAAGUGAAGCAUUACAACAAAAAAUGGUUCAGCCCAACUUGAAAGGCUUCACACUAGCAAUCCUCUGGUUGUAGAGGAUGUUAUAAGUGCAAUGAAUGUGUUUCGGUAUUGUUUGAAAGGCUUUAACCCCAAUGGAUGGAAGCGGGGUGACAGUAGGGAAGUGGCCAAAGCUGCUGGUGCGUGACCUAAAAGACAGACAUGGAUUUAUAGGGCUAGAGAUGACCUGGGUCUGAUAUUAACAAGAUAUAACGAGGAGCCUAGGAACUUCUUUUACAGUUUCUGCAGGAUGAAACUUCACCCUUGGAUCUCAGCGGUCUCAUCGCACAAAGAAAGUUAUGCAAAUAUUAAUUUGAUAAUUGCUUCCGCUGACCUUGGAAUUAUUAUUGGUGCAGGCACAGCUCGCGGUUUUGGAAGCGAUUUAGAGGAAACUACUAGUCUGUCUCGUGAAAUUAACAAAGUCAUGGACCUGCGAGCUUCUCUGAAGGACAUGUACAAGAAGCGCAGAACCGAUGUGGGGCCUAUGAAUGUGGUUAUCAGCAGUAAAGAGGAGGCAAAUAGUGGAAGACUAGAGUAUUACCGUAAAAGGAAAGUAAAUCAUACUAGGCCUUCUUCUAUGAUAACCGCUACUCUUAUUUCUCCCUCAGUAAGCUCGCCAUCAAUAGCCCAUGCAAGUUUUUUUAUUGCUGCUCAUGGCAUCUCUCCUCUUUCUACUCCUCUUUGUAUUCCUUCUUUUUUACCUCUUGUUGAGGAAACCUUAUCUGGAGAGGAUGGUGAGCUAUUCCCGUGGUGUGGACAUAUGAGUAUGUGAGAGUACCCCUAUGACCCCAACAAAGUGGUGGAGAAGUGGAAGGCUUUUUUACCAGAAACUACAAAAAGGAAAAUGUACAUCGCUGAGUCAUCGAGUGGUGCAAAGAAUCCUCUACUGUCAAAGCUUACCUCAUCCUUGCAAGUUCUGCUGGCUGAGGCUACUAUGGUUAACUUAAGCCUUAAUGAAAACGUUGGUAAAGCUGAGGCCAGUCAAAGGGAGCUCGAGGAAACUAAAGGGGAUUUGGAGAGAACUCACAAGUUAUACCUCAAGAUUAGGAAGGAGAAUAAAGAUCUUUAUAGAUAAAUUAUAGAGAUCGUUGGUCGUCUGGAAGCUGCUAAGGUCAAAAUUGAUGAGUUAUUUGAGAAGGUCACAGUUGAAAAAAAAAAGAAAAGAGGCCGUAGACUGAUUUGAAGAAAAUGACUAAAGAGCAUAAGGUAACUGUGAAUCGAAUUGUUCAAGAAUAGGAAGCUGCUAUGGCAAGGUCAGAGUAGAAACAAACUGAGGCCUUAGAAAAAUUUAAAGGGAAGACUCUGAAGAACUUGAGCAACCUUGAUUAAUAGCUCAAGUCGAAUGAACUUAUGCAUGCCCAAGUUGUAGGUGGCCUUUUUGAUGCUCGCGGGGUUGACCUCGAUGCUCUCUACGAUGUGGAUAUGAACCAACUGAGUGUCAAUGUUCGCUACCCUUCCGAAGCUUCCUGGGAUGAGUUCACAUCCAAAAUAAAAAACUCAAAAGGCUUUUACCAGGAUGAAGACCUAGCCGAAACCAACACUACUCCUGUUGACAACAAUGAAGCCAAUGUUGCUCCUACUAAUGGUAAUGACCACAUUGAAGUUGCUGGAAGAGAAGGAGAAAAUGAGAUCCUCAGCGACCAUGAAUGGGCUGAUAAUAUGCUUUAAUUGUAACUUUGUAUUAGUUUUCUCAUCUUGAAAUGAAAAUUUAAACUUUGAAAAUUUUCAAAUUUGCUUGUUACUAUUAUGACAUCAUAUCCUUUUGUGGACUUAUUUUAUCUUUUCGCAUAACACUACUGCAUGUACCAAAAAUUUGAACUUAAACAAAUUUUUAAAGAUAUUCUCAGAAACUUUUAAUUGACUUAGUGUAAUUCAAUGGUUCUGUUUUAAGUGACUUAUCAUCAAUUUUGACUUGAGUGUUCUUAAACAUCUGUGUUGUGAAUUUAAGUAAGCAAACUCGAAGGAAAUUAAGUUACGAUCUCAAAUCAAUUAAGCCUUAAGUACCACACAAGAAGGUAGCUUUGCUAGCUGUGUUGGAUUUGCGAGCUUAACUAUGCGAGCUCUUAUAAUGUCAACUGGGAGCAUAGGUCUGCGAGCUGCUUUAGAAGUUGUGAUUUUAAAUCGUCAAACCUUUAAGACAUCAACUGGGAGCGUAUGACCGCUAGCUGCUUUAGAGUUUGCGAUAUUAAACCGUUAAACCUUUAUGACAUCAACUAGGAACGUAGGUUCGCUAGUUGCUUUGGAGGUUAUGAUCUUAAACCGUCAAACCUCUAUGACAUCAACUGGGAGCGUAGGUCUGCUAGUUGUAUUGGAGCUGCGAGCUUAACUCUUCGAGCUUUUAUAAUGCCAGCUGGGAGCGUGGGUCCGCUAGCUACUUUGGAGGUUACGACCUUAAACCGUCAAACCUUUAUGACAUCAGUUGGAGCGUAGGUCCGCUAGCUGUGCUGGAGCUGCAAGCUUAACUGUUGCAGUAUGAUGCGAAGUUCGUAGGGCCCAAUAAGAUUCCUGGUAGUUCAUUUAACCACACACCCUUAGCCUCAACAACCUUCUUUUUUAAGGUUGUUAGAAUCUUCUUAUUCAUUGCUUUAGUUUGCCCAUUUGUUUGUGGUGUUUUAAUAAAACUCUAAGCCAAAGCAAUCUGAAGAUCUACACAAAAAAUUUUGAACUUUUCCUGAAACUGUGUGUCAUUGUCUGUGAUAAUCAGGUGAGGUACACCAAACCAUCACACAAUUGAUUUCCAAAGAAAAGACUCCAUUUGUUUCUCUAUGAUGGUCGCCAAAGGUUUAGCUUCAAUCCACUUGGUGAAAUGGUCAACAACCACCACUAUGAAUUUUUCUGUACUAUAGCCAUCAGGAAUGAAUUGAGAAUAUCAAUUCCCCAAGUCACAAAUGGUCAAGGGCUCGACAUGACUAGAAGAGGUUUUACUGAUUGUCGAUGCACCUGAACAUAUCUUUGGCAGGAGUCGCAUGUGUGAACCAAAUGAUGUGUAUCCUUUUGAACCAUAGGCUAGUAAUACCCUUGCCUGAAAAUUUUUUGGGUAGGUAGUCUUCCACCCAAAUGGUCACCACAAAUGCCUUCAUGAAUUUCUUACAUUACGUACUCAACCUCAAACGAUGAUAAACAUCGCAGUAGCGGAUGCAAAAACCCAUUUCUAUAUAGUACACCCAUUAAAAGAGUAUACAUAACAAUUGUAAGUCAAAACUAAUUAUUUUAACUCACUAUGUAAUUGAGUAAUUUAAAAAUUAUCUACACAGUACUCAAAUGUCUAAUUUAUAGAUUAAAAUUUUUCGGGAGUAUGUAACUUGUGACAAUGACAUACCUCGCAGCUUUAUGUUGUAACCUUGUGAGCUCUUUCUUGUCCAGAUUAUCAUACACUCUUUGUAAUGUGCGAACUAAGUGAGUAAUCAAUGUCUCUUCCUGAUCUAUAGUCAAAACUUGUUGCAUGUCGUGGCUCGGGGUAUCAUUGUACUCCAAUAAAAUUUUUCCUCUUUGUUCAAUGACAAUAGAUGAUGCAAAUUUAGAUAAAGUAUUUGUACGUUUGUUAUCACUCCUUAUGAACUGCUUCAUCUAAACUUUGUAAAAUCCUGCGAGCAACUGAAUUGCAACUGAAUGAUAUCUCUUUAACACUACUUCCUUAACCUCGUACUCGUCACUCAUUUACUUCGUCACUAAUUGUGAAUUUGUAUGGAUGAUCAUAUCCUUCACUCCUAGUUGGCGUGCUAGUUGUAACCCUGAUAUUAAAACUUCAUAUUCUAUUGCGUUUUUGGAUGUUUGAAAUCCAAAAGUUAAUCUGUACCGCCAUUCAUUCCCACUGGGAUCAAUCAGAAGUACUCCUACUCCUGAACCUGUCUUGUUUGUGGAGCCAUCAAAAUACACUAGCCACAUUUUCCAAUUAUCGAUUGUAUCUACAACCCCCUGAGGUGGACUAACUACUGGGUUGCAUACAAUAGAUGAAAAAUAUAUCUUAAAAUAAAGUGUGAGUUGAUCAUAAAUUAUUAUUAAAACAAUAAGCUAAAUUGUAACAGCUCGUUUUUCAGUGGUGAUAGAACAACGGUUUUGGAACCACAAAUUUCCAUCGUGUUGACCCGUAAGUAUUAUUUAUAGAAUAUUUACGAAGUCAUUAGAGUCGUAUUAAAAUUUGGUUAAGAAAUUUUAUCGUUUAAAUAGUUAAUUAAAAAAGGACUAAAUUAAAAAAGAUGUAAAACUUGGUAAUUAUUGCAUUUAGAUGAUUUAAUAGCUUAAAUAUCAUAGGAGGGAGGACCUAAGUAGUAAUUAAACCCUAGUUAUUAUUGUUGGAUGGCUAUUGGAAUGAAAAUAAUAAAAUAACACAUGUUUUAAUGGCAAAAUAGUAAUUAACAUAAAAUUAAAACAAAAUAAUUAGAAAAAGAUAGCAUCUUCUUCUCCAUUUUAUUUUCAAAGUUGGCCAAAAACACCAUAACAGAGAAGCUUAAACAUUCAGCUGGUUUGAGCCUUGCAUGGGUAAGUUUUGAGUCCCGUUUUUAAUGAAUUUUAUGUUUUUGAGAUCGUUACAACUAGGUCCAACUAAUUCGUACCUUCCUUUCUGAAUCUGUUAAAAUUUUAGAAGUUUCCAUUGAUGAAUCUUGAUUUUUUUAUGAUAAUUAUGUGUUUGAAGCUUUGAUUGUGGUAUUUGGUUGUUUUAUAAAGUAAUUUUAAUUAGUUUUUAUUUAAGGAUUAAAUUAUUAAAAUGUCAAAAUUUUAAGGUUUGAUGGUGAACGAGAUGUAUAAUUAGGACUGUUUAAGGGCCAAUAUUAUUCGGUUGUAAAUUUUGACUUUAGAAAAUAGUUAAUUUGAUUAUUUUCAGGUUGUUAACUUGAGAAAAUGAUUUUCAGUUGUUAAUUUGCUAAAAGUUGGAAAAGUUAGGGGUAAUUGUGUAAUUUUGAAAAAUAAAAUGUAACAGCCUGAUUUUAGUGGUGUUGGAAACAGUGGUUCGAGACCACCAAAUCCAACGAGUAAGCUCGUAAAAUUUUUUAUUUAGUCUUUAUGAGUCAAAUAUGGUUUUAGAAAGAUUUUUGAAGUGGUAAUUUAUGUUUUAUAAUGAAUUAUUAGGUUAGAAUGGUAAAAACCUAGGUCAAGUGGUUUUAAAAAAUGAGGCAUCGAGAUCGUGUUUCUAUAAACUGAGCCGUAAAUAUUUUUAUAAAUAUUUACGGAGUGUCAUUAACAUAGUAUUAAAGCUACGUUAAAAAAUUUUAACGUUUCGGUAGUUAAUUGAUUAAACAGGACUAAAUUGAAAAAGGUACAAAACUUGCAAAUUGUAAGAAAUAAUUGAUUAAAUGACUUACUUAAUAAACAAUGGAGGGCUUAACGAGUAAAUAUGCCUAAAAUAAAAGGGUAGGACGACAUGUAAGUGUGAAAUAAUAAAAUAAAGUAAACGAAUGGCAAAAUUGUAUUUUGCAUGAAAUUAAACAUACAAAUUAAAAUUAAAAGAGAAUUCUAGACAACUUUCUUCUUCAACUUCAGUAAACCGACAUGGGAGAGAGUUUCUAAGCUAGUUUUUCUUAUUUUUGUUGCAUGUGAGUCUAAUUCUUACAUGUUUCUUGUAUUUUUAUGUUUUUGAGAUUGUUACAAUUAGGUACAACUAAAUCCUACCUUAGUUUUUGAUUUUAUUAGAAAUUUUGAAAGUUAUCAUUGAUGAAUAAUAGAUUUUUUUGAUGAAUAACAUGGAUUUAGAGUUUUAAUUUUGUUGUAUGAUGAUUUUAUAAAGUGAUUUUGUUAAAUAUUGAUUUUAGGAUCAAAUUUUGAAAAAGUUAAAAUAUUAGGGUUUGGUAUUAAAUUUCUAUUUUAUUAAGAGCUGUAUAAUAACCUAGAAUGUUUAGUUAAAUUAUUAAUUGAGGAAAAUUAGUUAAUUUGAUAGAUUAACUAGUUAAUGAACUAAAUUACAAAAGUUGUAAAACUUUGGGGUAAUUGUGUAAAUUUGAAAAUUGAAAGGUAGUAAUUGUGAAAUGAAUUGGAACUAAAAUAUAUGCUAAUGAAUGAGUAAUUUUAUAUUUUAGAUGAAGAUCCCGUAUAUACUCGUAAAAAAGGAAAAUUAGCAAAAUAGUCCUUAAACUUUUGCAAAUAUUACAAUUUAACCCAGGUAAGUUCGUACGGUUAAAAGUUAAUAAUUAUAUUGAUUUGAUGAAUGGUAUUAUAUAUAUUUAUUCUAUUGUUGAAAAUGAAUUAUUGUUGAAGUUAUAAUUUUGUAUUGAAUAAUCGGAUUAAAUGGAACGCGAGAUUUGAGUACAUUCGUUAUGUGGCGCAUGGCAAUAUUGGAGGAAAAAGAUGAAUAAUUAUCCAGGUAAAUCUGGGUUCAGUAUUUGUUGUGAACUCUCGUGUUUUACUUUCUGUUUAGCUAUUACGAGCUUCUAUUUAACUCAUAUGAGUUUCUAUUUAGCUCUUAUGAGCUUCUGUUAAACUCUUAUGAGUUUUUUUUCAGCUCUUACGAGCUUCUGUUCAACUCUAAUCGGUUUUUGUUUAGCUCUUAUGAGCUUCUAUUUAGCUCUCAUGAGCUUUUGUUUAGUUUUCGGGAUUCUUAAAAUGAUGUACUCUUAUACAUAACCCGUUCUUCAGUUUGGGAAAGAUUUGGUAAGGUGAUUUAUAUAUUGAAAUCGAAAGACAUAUUAUUUAUUUUUGGUAUUAACUUGAAACAAGUGUAUUCAUCGAUUUAAGUUGUGGUUGACAGGGAGUUUACAUGAAUGAUUUUAUUUAAUUGAUUUGUUAUAGUAGGUUCGGUAAGAUUUAUGUUUAACCCACCGAACUUACUAAGCUUCAUUAAGCUUAUGUGUAUUGUUUCUUGUCUUUGUAGAUUUUCAGAAGGUUGGGCGAUUGGAUCAACAUUCAAAUCACACUAUCCAAUUUAUUCCGGUAGUUUUUGAAACAUUCAAUACGAUUUAUAUGGCAUGUAUAGGGUUGGUGUAGAUUUGAUUAAAAUUUGUCUUGUGUAAAUGUUAGGAGUGAUGUUUUGUUUAUAAAAUCAAUUUAAAUAUAUAUUUUGGUUUGGAAAUGAAGUAAAUUUGUGAUGUGGGUGUGAAUGAUAUAUGUUUGUAUGUAUUUAAUUUGUGGUAAACUUUAGUAGAAUUGCUAAAUUGAUUAAAUAGGUAAGUUUGAGUAUUUGGGUAUGUGUGAUGAUAUGUUAUGUUUAAAACAUGAUUUUGGCUUGUUUUGAUUGCUUUGUUAUGGCUUAUUGAUGUGUUAAAAUGUUGUGUUUAGGUUGGUACCAAAAUGAGUGAGAAAUGUGGCCUUGAAAUGGCCUAUUUUCAUCCACACAAGUAGAGACACGGGUGUGUGUCUCAGCAGUGUCUGACACAUGGCCAAGUGACACGGCCGUUUGUCCCCUGUAACUUAGAAAUUUGUACAAGUCAGUAUCCUCACACGGCCUAGCAUACUGUCAUAUGGCUUGGCCAUGUGACCCAAGUAAGAGAGCUCCUAAGUUUGGACACGGGCUGGGACACGGCCGUGUGCCCUUAUUUCGAAUGCCCACACGGCCUGAGACACGGGCGUGUCUCUUGAUCGUGUGAGCCACACGACCUGGCCACAUGGGCGGGUGUCCCCUGCGCCUUUGAAAAUUUUUUAUGUUUCCUGAAAAAACAAAUUUUCUCUAAGUACCCGGUUUAGUCUUGAUUUAUUUUUAAUGUGUAUUUUGGGCCUCGAUGGCUCAUAUAAGGGACUUUAUGAUUGAUUUAUGAUAUGAAUACUAUAUGAUGAGAAAUAUCAGUUUUCUUGAUUUGUAAAUAUCGGUAAUACUUCGUAACCCUAUUCUAAAAACGGAUACGGGUUAGGGGUGUUAUAUUUGUGGUAUCAGAGCAUCAAUUUAGCCGAUUCUCAGACUAAACGUAGCAUGUGAAAUAUCUAAAAAUACAUGCCAUAUAAAUCUGUGAUAGUGUGAUGCGUAUGAUCCGAUCUAACCUUUGUUUUCUUAUAGAUUGUAAAGAUGUCAGAUGGAUCUGAACGUGCUGAAAAUGAUGAGGUUAAUAGUAAAGCACCAACUUCUUAACAUGGGAUGAGUAGUAAUGUCCUGAUUCCUCCGGUUCAGGAACAAGAACUUUAAAUCAUGUUCUUUAGGUAUAUGAACCAGUGGUUCAACGAGUUUAUGCAAGAAAGAAAUCCGGCUCAGCUACCUCCACCCCCUACUAUACCAUUUGUAGUACCUCCGGUUGCACCUCCACAUCCUCCAGUGACUGAACCUACUAGACGUACUCCAAUUGAGAAACUCAGAAAGUAUGGUGCUGAAGAAUUUGGAGUAGGUCAGAGGAUGAUCCAGUUAAAGUUGAGUAUUGACUUCAAAAUAUAAUAAGGGUCUUCGAAGUAAUGGCUUGUUCCCCUGAUGAUUACCUUAUAUGUGUUGUUUCAUUAUUGAAAAAGGAAGCAUAUAACUAGUAGUCGACAAUAGUAGCUGUGGUACCAAAAUUGAAAAUUUCCUGGGAAUUUUUCCAAACUGAAUUUAAAAAGAAAUAUGUAGGAAAAAGGUAUUUGGAUAAAAAAAAAGAGAAAAUUUCUUGAGUUACGUCAAGGAUAUAGAUCAAUAGCUGAGUAUGAGAGAGAAUUUGUAUAUCUCAGUAAAAAUGCUCAAGAAAUUGUGUCAACUGAAGCAAAAAUGUGUAUCUGGUUUAAAGAUGGGUUGAAUGAUAAAAUUCGAAUGAUGAUCGGAGGUAAUGAAAUACAAGAAUUUGUUGUCUUAUCUGAUCGUGCAUAGAAAAUGGAAAAAGUGUACAACUGUAAGAUACAACGAGACAGGCGGAAUCGAGAAUUUUACAAAAGAGACUCUUCUAAAUCAUUUUCGGCAUCACUAGAGAAAAAGUCUAAAGAUGAUUUUAGUCGAGCUACCUUAGUGCCUUAACGUUCAAAUAAAAACAAGACGAUCCAAUACGAUUUCAGGGUGCCUACUAGACUAAUUGAUAGUGUAGAUAGUGUACAACUUACUCUAAAGCCUAAAUAUAGAUACUGUGGAAAAUAUCACCCUGGCGAGUGUAAAAGUAAAAUGGGAGCCUGUUAUAGGUGUGGAUCAACUGAUCAUUUUAUUCGUGAUUGUCUCAAAUUGCUAAGAGAAGAUUAUGUGCAGAAAGAACAGGAAUUGUCUACUUCUCAGAAAAGUAGAUGCUCGGACCAAAAUAGUGCUACUAGUACUGCUCAUUCAGGAAUGAAAGAUACUGUUGUUCGGUCAGAAGCUAAAGCACCUGCACGUACCUACGCCAUUCGAGCUAGAAAGGAAGCUACUACUCCAAAUGUGAUUGCUGGUAUAUUCUAUCUCUUUGAUGUUACUGUGUAUGUUUUGAUUACCCUGGGUCAACUCAUUCUUAUAUUUUCACUGUAUUAGUAACAAAAAGAAAGUUGCCUUGAUUAUGAUAUUAAAGUUACUAAUCUAUUAAGUCAAAGUGUGAUAGUUAAUUUAGUUAGUCGAAAUUGUCCACUGAAAGUUAAGAGCUGUGAAUUCCCUGCUGAUUAGAUGUUGUUACCCUUUCGGGAAUUUGAUGUUAUCCUGGCAAUGGAUUGGUCAUUUUUGCAUGAUGUUGUGGUAAAUUGUAGACAGAAAUGGAUUGAUUUGAAAUGUCAGAUAGGAUAGAUGAUUUCUGUUGAGUCUGAGAAUCCGAAAGAUGUUGUUAAAAUUAUUUCAGCUUUUUCUGCUCAGAAAUUGAUACAAAAAGGUAACGAAGCAUUUCUAGCAUAUAUCCUUGAUACCCGAGAUUUAGAAUUGAAGCUAGAUCAGUUACCAGUUGUUAGUGAGUUUGCUGAUGUAUUUUCUAAAGAAUUGUCAGGUUUACCUCCUAACCGUGAAGUGGAGUUUGUAAUUGAUUAGAUUCCUAGAACUGCUCUGAUAUCAGUAACACCAUACUGUAUAGCACCAGCUGAACUAAAGGAAUUAAAAGCAUAGUUGCAAGAGUUAUUAGACCGAGGGUUUAUCAGACCAAGCAUGUCUUCUUGGGGUGCACCUGUUUUGUUUGUGAAAAAGAAAGACAAUUCUUUGAGAUUGUGUAUAGACCACAAACAAUUUAACAAAGAUACAAUUAAAAAUAAAUACCCUUUACCACGUAUCGAUGAUUUGUUUGAUCAACUGAAAGGUGCCGCAGUGUUCUCAAAAAUAGACCUUAGAUUUGGGUAUUAUCAAUUGAAGGUUAAAGAAUGUGAUGUGCUAAAAAAUUCUUUCAGAACUCGUUAUGUUUAUUAUGAGUUUUUGGUAAUGCCAUUUGGUUUGACUAAAGCCCCUGUUGCUUUUAUGGAUUUAAUGAACCGAAUUUUUCAACCUCACUUGGAUAGAUUCGUGGUUGUGUUUAUUGACGACAUACUAAUCUAUUCAAAGACAGAAUCCGAGCAUACACAACAUUUAAGGAUCAUACUACAGACUUUGAGAAAAAAGCAGUUGUAUGCAAAGUUUAGUAAAUGUGAAUUCUGGCUUCGUGAGGUUGGAUUUUUAGGUCAUAUAGUAUCAGCUGAUGGGAUUCGAGUUGAUCCGAGUAAAGUUUUUACUGUGAUAAAUUGGAAAACUCUGAAAAAUGUUUCAGAAGUGCAAAGUUUUCUGGGUUUACCAGGUUACUACCGACGCUUUGUCAAAAACUUUUCAAUUAUUGUUUUACCGAUGACCCAAUUAUUUCAAAAAAUGUGGAGUUUGUUUGGUCCGAAGAGUGUCAACAGAGCUUUGAUCAGCUAAAGAAAAUGUUGACUGAAACUCCACUCUUGACUCAGCCAGAAUCUGGUGUAGCGUAUGUUGUUUAUAGUGAUGCAUCUCUCAAUGGUUUGGGUUGUGUACUGAUACAGUCAGGAAAGGUAGUAGCUUAUUCUUCUCAACAAUUAAAGUCGUAUGAGAAGAAUUAUCCUACACAUGAUCUUAAGUUGGCUACGAUCAUAUUCACUUUGAAGAUUUGGAGACAUUAAUUAUACAGCGAGAAAUGUUACGUGUUCACAGAUCACAAAAGUUUAAAGUAUUUCAUGACCCAGAAAGAAUUGAAUUUAAGAAAGAUGUGUGGUUAGAAUUACUCAAAGAUUACGAUCUAGUUAUUGAUUACCACCCGAGAAAGGCUAAUGUGGUUGCGGAUGCAUUUAGUCGAAAAUCAUCAUUGUUUGCACUCCGAGCAUUGAACGCUCAUUUAACUCUUAGUGAAGAUAGUUCUGUAUUAGCCGAAUUGAGAACGAAACCCCUGUUUCUGUAACUGAUUCGAGAAUUGCUAAAUGACGAUCCGAAAUUGGUGUAGAAACGACAGAUGGUUCAGGACAAUCUGAGUUCAGAGUAUAGUGCUGAUGGUAGUGGUAUGUUGCGUUAUUGCAAUAGAAUUUGUGUUUCGAAUAAUUUGGAUUUGAAAAAUGAUAUUCUUUCUAAAGCUCAUAGUAGCACGUACUCCAUUCAUCCGGGGAGUACAAAGAUGUAUUGUGACUUGAAACAGAUGUAUUGCUGGCCGGGUAUAAAACAGGAAAUCUAUGAAUUUGUAGCUAAACGUUUGAUAUGUCAGCAGGUGAAAGCAAAACAUUAGGUACCAACGGGUUUAUUACAACCUGUUUUGAUUCCUAAAUGGAAGUGCGAACGAGUCACAAUGGAUUUUGUAUCUGGAUUACCUAUAACUCCGAGAAAAAAAGAUUCGAUCUGGGUGAUUGUUGAUAGAUUGACUAAAUCGACACAUUUUAUUCCAGUAAGAACAGACUUUACACUGGAAAAACUAGUGGAACUGUAUAUAUCUGAGAUUGUAAGAUUACAUGGAGUUCUGACCUCUAUUAUUUUGGAUCGAGAUCCAAGAUUUACAUCGAGAUUUUAGAGUAAUUGCAGCACAACAUUUCAUCCUCAGACUGACGGACAAUCAGAACGAGUAAUUCAGAUACUGGAAGAUAUGUUGAGAUAUUUUAUACUCAAAUUUGGAGGUAGCUGGGAAAUGUGUUUACCGUUAGCUGAAUUUGCAUAUAAUAAUUAUCAAUCCAGUUUAAAAAUGGCACCAUUUGAAGCUCUUUAUGAGAGAAUAUGUAAAACACCAUUAUAUUGGUCUGAACUGAGUGAAUCCAAACUAGUAAGAGUUGAUUUGAUCCGCGAGACUGAGGAUAAAGUUUAGAUUAUCUGGGAUAGUUUGAAAGAUGCUUCUGAUCGUCAGAAAUCGUAUGCAAAUUUGAAAAGAAAAGAUAUAGAAUUUGCUGUUGGGAUCGGGUAUUCUUAAAAGUCUCUCCAUAGAAGAAAGUAUUACGGUUCGGCAAGAAAGGAAAGCUGAGUCCAAGAUUUAUCGGACCGUAUGAAAUCGUUAAAAGAAUCGGCCUUGUAGAUUAUAAAUUAGCUUUGCCUCUUGAACUUGAGAAAAUUCAUAAUGUGUUCCACGUAUCGAUGCUGAGACAGUACAGAUCUAAUCCUACACAUGUGAUUCCUCAUAGUGACAUUGAGCUACAGCCAAAUAAAACAUAUUCGGAAGAACAUGUGAGAAUUUUAGCUCGAAAGGUUAAAGAAUUGCAACAUAAACGAGUACCAUUGGUAACAGUAUUGUGGCAUCGUCAUGAUUCGGAAGAAGCGACUUGGGAAACAGAAGAAUCAAUGAGGUCAUAAUUUCUGAAUCUAUUCUCAGGUAACAAAUUUCAAGGACAAUUUCUUAAAGGGGAAGAGUUGUAACAGCCUGAUUUUCAGUGGUGUCGGAAACAGUGGUUCGAAACCACCAAAUUUGACCAGUAACCUCGUAAAUUUUAUUAUCUAGUAUUUACGAGUCAAAUGUGGUUUUAGAAAGAUUUUUGAACUGGUAAUUUAUGUUUUAUAAUGAAUUAUUAGGUUAGAAUGGUAAAAUCCUAGGUCAACUGGUUUUAAAAAAUAAGGUAUCGAGACCUCGUUUCUAUCAACUGAGCCAUAAAUAUUUUUAUAAAUAUUUACGAAGUGCCAUUAAGAUAGUAUUAAAGUUUCGUUGAAAAAUUUUAACAUUUCUGUAGUUAAUUGAUUAAAAAAGACUAAAUUGAAAAAGGUGCAAAACUUGCAAAUUAUAAGAAAUAAGUGAUUAAAUGACUUAAUUAAUAAACAAGGGAGGACUUAAGGAGUAAAUAUGCCUAAAAUGAAAGGGCGGGAUGGCAUGUAAGUAUGAAAUAAUAAAAUAAAGUAAAUGGAUGGAAAAAUUGUAAUUUGCAUGAAAUUAAACAUACAAAUUGAAAUUAAAAGAGAAAUCUUAACAAUUUUCUUCAACUUUAGUAAACCGACAUGGGAGAGAGUUUCUAAGUUGGUUUUUCAUGUUUUUGCUGCACGUGAGUCUAAUUCUUACCCGUUUCUUGUCAUUUUUAUAUUUUUGAGAUUAUUACAAUUAGGUACAACUAAACCCUACCUUAGUUUUUGAUUUUAUUAGAAAUUUUGAAAGUUACCGUUGAUUAAUAAUAGAUGGUUUUCAUGAAUAACAUGGAUUUAGAGUUUUGAUUUUGUUGUAUGAUGAUUUUAUAAAGUGAUUUUGUUAAAUAUUGAUUAUAGGAUCAAAUUGUGAAAAAUUUAAAAUAUUAGGGUUUGGUAUUAAAUUUAUGUUUAAUUAAGAGUUGUAUAGUAGCCUAGAAUAUUUAGAUAAAUUAUUAAUUGACAAAAAUUAGUUAAUUUUAUAGAUUAACUAGUUAAGGGACUAAAUUAAAAAAGUUGUAAAUGUUUGAGAUAAUUGUGUAAAUUUGAAAAUUGAAGGGUAUUAAUUGUGAAAUGAAUUGGAACUGAAAUAUAUGCUAAUGAAUGAGUACUUUUAUAUUUUAGAUGAAGAUCCCGUAGAUACUCGUGAAAAAGGAAAAUUAGCGGAAUAGUCCCUGAACUUUUACAAGUAUUACAAUUUAACCCAGGUAAGUUCGUACGGUUAAGCUUUAAUAAUUAUAUUGAUUUGAUGAAUGGUAUUAUAUAUAUUUAUUCUAUUGUUGAAAAUGAAUUAUUGUUGAAUUUAUAAUUUUGUAUUGAAUAUUCAGAUUAAAUGGAAUGCGAGAUUUGAGUACAUUCGUUAUGUGGUGCAUGGCGAUAUUGGAGGAAAACGACAGCAAAUUACCCAAGUAAACUGAGGUUCAGCAUUUGUUACGAACUCUCAUGUUUUACUUUCUUUUUAGCUUUUAUGAGCUUCUGUUAAACCCUUAUGAGCUUCUGUUCAACCCUUAUCGGAUUCUGUUUAGCUCUUAUGAGCUUCUGUUCAGCUUUCGGGCUUCUGAAAACGAUGUACUCUUAUUCGUAAGUCGUUCUUCAAUUUGGGAAAUAUUUGGAAAGGUGAUUUAUAUAUUGAAAUCGAAAGAAAUAUUAUUUAUUUUUGGUAUUGACUUGAAACAAAUGUAUUCAUCGAUUUAAGUUGUGGUUGACAGGGAGUUUACAUGAAUGAUUUUUAUUUAAUUGAUUUGUUAUAGUAGGUUCUGUAAGAUUUAUUUAAUUGAUUUAUGUGUAUUGUUUAUUACCUUUGUAGAUUAUCGAAAGGUUGAGCGACCGAAUCAACACUCAAAUCACACUAUCUAGCUUAUUUUGGUAGUUUUUGAAACAUUUAAUACGGUUUAUAUGGCAUGUAUAGGGUUGGUGUGGAUUUGAUUAAAGUUUGGCUUGUGUAAAUGUCAGGAGUGAUGUUUUGUUUAUAUAAUCAAUUUAAAUAUAUAUUUUGGUUUGGAAAUGAAGUAAAUUUGUGAUUUGUGUGUGAAUGAUUUAUGCUUGUAUGUAUUUAAUUUGUGGUAAACUUUAGUAGAAUUGCUAGAUUGAUUAAAUAGGUAAGUUCGAGAAUUUGGGUAUUUGUGAUGAUAUGUCAUGUUUAAAACAUGAUUUUGGCUUGUUUGAUUACUUUGUUAUGGCUUAUUGAUGUGUUAAAAUGUUGUGUUUAGGUUGGUACAAAAAUGGGUGAGAAAUGUGGUCUUGAAAUGGCCUAUUUUCGUCCACACGGGUAGAGACACGGGUGUGUGUCUCAGUCGUGUCUGACGCACGGUCAAGUGACACGGCCAUGUAUCCCCUGUAACUUAGAAAUUUGUACAAGUCAGUAUGUUCACACGGCCUAACACAUGGGCGUGUGGCUUGGCCGUGUGACCCAAGUAAGAGAGCUCCCAAGUUUGGAAACGGGCUGGGACAUUGCCGUGUGCCCCUAUUUCGAAUGCCCACACGGCCUGAGACACGGUCGUGCCUCUUGACCGUGUGAGCCGCACGGCCUGGCCACACGGGCGUGUGUCCACAGCACCUUUGAAAAUUUUUUAUGUUUCCUGAAAAAAAAAUUUCUCUAAGUACUGGGUUUAGUCCCGAUUUAUUUCUAAUGUGUAUUUUGGGCCUCGAGAGCUCAUAUAAGGGACUUUAAGAUUGUCUUAUGAUAUGAAUACUAUAUGAUGAGAAAUAUCAGUUUACUUGAUUUGCAAAUACUGGUAAUACUUCGUAACCUUGUUCCGGCGACUGAUACGAGUUAGGGGUGUUACAUAAAAGGGUAUAAAAUGCAGAGUUAACUAGAAUAUGAAAUGUAAGCUAAUAAUUGGGAAAUUGUACAUUUUAGAUUAAGACCUUUUUGAUUUACGUAAAAAGGGGAAAAUUACAAAAUAGUCCUUAAACUUUUGCAACUAUUACAAUUUAGUCCAGGUAAGCUCGUUCAAUUUUUAAUUUAAUAUCUAUAUGAAUUGUAUGAUGAUAUGGUAUGAAAUAGUGGAUGUUAAUUAUUCUAUUGGUGAUGUAAAGUUGUUUGGGAAAAUGUUAUUGAAUUUUGGUACUUGGGCCGAAUGAAUGCGAGAUAGAGAACAACUGAAUGACAGCGUGCUAUGCAGAUAUUGGAGUGGAGAUUGAUGUGGUGUGUUUUAUAUAUUUUUCCCGAGUAUACUGAGGUUCAACAUUUGUUGCAAAUCCUUGUAUUAUACUAUCUUGUUCUGGCGUGUUAUGAGGGGCAGAUGUAUAGCCUACGGGCUAGGCACUUAGUGUCGAGGCGUGUUAUUGGUUGGAUUAGCUCUUGUGAGCAUUUGGCAUGUUAACGGUUGGAUUAGCUCUUAUGAGCAUUUGGGGUGUUUUGGUUAGAUUACUUAUGUACUCGUAUCUGUAAGUCAUCCAUCAAGUCGUAAAUUAUUGUAUUAUAACAUGUUUAAUGACUUUGAAUGACAUGACAUGUACUAGAUAUCUUGAAUUGACUCUGUUAUGGACAUGUAUGUUUUCCGGAAAUUAUUAUUGAGCUUUAAAUUGAACUAUGUAAUUCACUGGUUUGAAAUUGUGGAUGACAGGAAACAUUUGUUGUUGAAUUAUGUUUGAUUAAAUUGUUAUAUUUACUUCGGUAAGAUUUAUUGUUUCUGUCUCUUGAACUUACUAAGCUUCAAUAAGCUUACUUGUGUUCAUUUUUGUUUCUUGUAGAUACUUUUGAGGGUUGGAUGAUCAGAUCAACACUCAAGUCACACUAUCCCUCUGAUUUCAGUAGUUUUUGAACGUUUAUUUUGGAUUAUAUGGCAUGUAAUAAGUUGUUAUGUCAAUAACCUCGUUUGAUAUGUAUAUAUAUCUAUAAGGCAUGUAAUUAGUUAAUCUUUUAAUCGAUGUUGUCUUGUAAUAUGAUGAUUGUUACAUGAUUGCUAGGUUUGGUGGUGAAUAUAGUUCAUUUUGUGAAGUUGUGGUUAAGUUUUUGGUAAGCUUUGCUAUGAAUAAAUAUGAUACAUGUUUGAUAUUAACUUAGCAAGUUAUAAGGUUAGGUAUUCAGCUUAAAAUUGAUAAGAUUAUAUAUUUUGAAUGGAUGAAUAGUUGAUGAUUUAUAUGUUUGUAUAAAUGUGUAUACUUGCGGUACCAUUGAGGGUACAUUGGUUAGGCAUUUAAGAUGGUUGAUUUAGCAUGAUUUGAGCAUGUUUAAUGGAAUUUUGAAUAAGUCUAAUGGUUGGUAAAUGGAUUGCUUAGUGUUCAAGAAACCUUGAAAUGGUAAACUUAAUGUUUAACGUUCAUUUAGGUGCACAGGGCCUAGGACACGGGCUAUCACACGGCCGUGUGCCACACAUGGUCUAUGACAUGGCUGUGUGUAACAAGUCAGUGAGUCACACGGUCUGCGACAUAGUAGUGUGUAUUAAGUCAGAAAGUUACACUGUAUGGCACACAAUUUGCGACACGGUCGUGUGUAUCAAGUUAGUGAGUUACAUGGUUUAAGACACGGGCUGGGACACGGCCAUGUAUCCCAAUUUCGAAUACUCACAAGGCCUGGGCUAUGUCACACAGCUGUGUGUCCCUUGUUUUUGAAAUUUUUCAUAUUUUCCUAAAAUUUCCUGACUUAUUUCAAAUUAGUCCCUGAAAAUUUUAAGAUUAUUUCUUUAGUCCCUUUAAGCUUGAUUUAAGCCUCGUAAAUGUAAGUUAUUAUUGUAAUUUAAUUACUUUAUGGUAUUUGAGAAAUUAUAUUGUAAUGAUCAUGAUUUUUACCUGUUUAUUUCUAUUAACUUGCUAUAGCAUUCUCGUAAUCCCUAUUCUGGUGACGGAUACGAGUGUUACAUAAAUUUUUGUUGUUCAUCAAUUGUUCACAGGAAAUUAUGAGUACCAUACACGUUUAAUUUCAUAAAAUAUUCAUAGCUCUAUAUUUCAAGUUACACACUAUAUUACCUACUGGAUCAACAGUCUUUUCAAAAGAGCACUCGACUAUAAAGUCGACUAAUAUCUGUCCUUUUAUGGUUGUUCUCAGGGCAAACUCCAUGCCAAAUUCAGCUAACUCGAUACUUCACUUCUUCACCCUUCCCGAAGUAUCAGAUUUAGAUAAAAUUUCUUUUAUAAGCUUAUUAGUCAUGACGACAACUAGAUGAGCCUAGAAGUAGGGGCGUAGCUUACGAGUUGCAAAAAUUAGAGUAAAGAUGAAUUUUUCAAUUUUUGAAUACCUCAGCUCGCCGUUCUAGAGUACCUUACUGACGUAGUAUACUGGGAAUUGAUGAACGUCUUCUGUUCUAACUAGGACUACUGCAAUUGUUUCCUAUGAGGUAGCCAAGUACAAAUAGAGGGUCCCUCCCACUCGUGGUAACUUCAGAAGUGGUAGGGAGGUGAUGUAUAACUUAAGCUUUUCAAAGGUUGAUUGAUACUCCUCAGUCCACAAAAAGGAGGUCAUCAGGGCUUUGAAGAAGGGAAGGCAUUUAUCCGCUAUCCUAGAGAUAAACCUGUUAAGCGCCAUUAUUUUUCCCGUGAGGAACAGAAUAUCUAUAAUAGUCUGCGGAUGAGGCAUUUCCAAGAUAGUAUGAAUCUUUUUUUGGUUCACCUCUAUCCCCCUUUCUGAGAUCAUAAAGCUUAAAAACCUACCAGCUCGUACACCAAAAGCACACUUCUCAAGGUUCAACUCCAUGUUGUGGGUCCUCAAAACUACGAACACCUCUGACAAGUUUCGCACGUGCUCUUCCAUGGUUGUACUUUUUACUAACAUAUCAUCGACAUAAAUUUCAAGACCAUGCCCUAUCUACUUCUUAAAAAUCUUGUUCACCAGUCUCAAAUAGGUUGCUUCGACAUUCUUGAGGCCAAAAAGCAUAACCCGAUAGCAGAACAACCCCUCCUCAGUGAUGAAAGUUAUUUUCUCAUGGUCAUAUUGAUCCAACAAAAUUUGGUUAUAACCCUAAAAGGUGUCCAUUAAGCUCAUGAACUUGUGACCUAAAGAAGCAUUAACCAAACGGUCAAUCGAGGGUAAAGGGAAGUUGUCCUUAGUGCACGCUUUGUUGGGGUUGGUGGAGCAAUACACAUCCUCAAUUUGCCAUUUUUUUUGUUCACCAUAACCACAUUUGUGACCCAAUUUAGAUACUCAACUUCCCUGAUAAAACCUGCCGACAACAAUUUGGCUACCUCUUGCCUCACGGCUUCCAUCACCUGCGAAGCAAACUUUCUCUUUUUCUUCUUAACAAGCUUGGCUUCAGGAAGUACAUUUAGCCUGUAGACAAUUACCUUACGAGUCAAUCCCUGGCAUAUCUGCUGCUGACCAGGCAAAACAUCGGAGUCCGCUUUCAAAAACUGAACUAAAGUGUCUUUUUCUUCAGGUAAUAAUAUUGAUGAAAUUUUAAUUUUCCUUUGUUCAUCAUCGUAAAAUAGCUGUAAAGCCUCUGUGUGCUCUACUACUUCAGGUUUCUUACUUCUCUCUUCAUCCAUCUCAUCUAGUCUAUCUAAGUCAAAGGCUUGACUAACCAACUUUGUGCUCUACGAACUCUUCCCCUCGGUUGCAGACUCUCGUGCCUGUUUCACAAACAACAUGUGACAUUGUCUCGUUGUUCGCUGGCCAGAUCGCCUGAACUCCAUCAUUGUCCUUAUCGAAAAUUUGAUCUUUAUACAAAAUGUCACCAUUACUAUCUUUACUGUUCUUAUAAUCGGGCACCCAAAAAUGGCAUUAUACUCCACAGGAUGGUCUACGAUAAAAAACUGGACAUAUUCUGUAGUCGUAUGCUCACUAUCUCCCAAGGUGACUGGCAAAGUGGGUAGAACCAUUUACCUCAACUAGGUGGUUAGCAAAACCAUAUAGCGGACUAGCAUUAGGCAAAACCUGUUCCUUCAAGCCCUUCUUUUGAUAAGCUUCCUGGGUUAUAACCUCUAUCGCGCUCCCACUAUCAACCAAUAUUCUUCUUACCUCAAAACCUAUGAUCGUUACAGAUAUUACCAUCGGGUCAUUCCUUUCUUCAUCACACAUGAACUCCUCAUCGUCAUUACCAAACUCAAUAUUCCAUUUUCCCUAUUGAUAUGCCUUUUAGGUGGAUUUACUAUCAUAACACUCAUCAUGUGGCUUUUUCUCUUCGCAUUAGAACUUGCUCAGACCUCAUCUAUGCCUACAAUCACAUGGAUAGUACCUUGAUCCACAAACUCAGAGAGCUCAUCAUUUCUCACUGUCUCUUCGAUAGCAUCUUUCAAAGUAAAAUAAUAUUCGAUUUUGUGCACCACAUCAUUAUAGAAAGCACACCUAUCCCUAGAAUUUAACCUUUUGGAACUCUGCCUCAUAAGAGAUAGCUUAAGCAGGCUACCUAAACUCUUUACCUGGUUCAAUAUGUAUACAUGAGUAGCGUUCAAUGGAGUGUAGGCCUCAAACAUACCUUGAGAUAUAUACCUUCUUGUUUGCUUGGGUUGAGAUCCCUGAGGAGUCUUGGGAGAAUUACCCUAUACUUGCAUUCUCUGUUGUCUAUUAGCUCGGGCACGUAGAGCCUAGUUGGGUUACCCCUACCUACUGCGAGCUCUUUUUCUCUUUCUGAACUGUCUUCCAUCUCAUUGAAAUGUGCCACGCAUCGCUCUCUUAAUAUCUUCUGCUUCCGCGAACUUGUGAGCCCACUCAUACAAGUUCGCUAAAGUCUGAGGCUUGUUACCAGAAAGGAGUAUUGUACAUGUUCAUUUUGCACCCCAUGAUGAAGGCAUCGAUAGCCCAUUGGUCCUCAAGGUUCUUCGUAUUCAGUGUUGCUGCAUGAAAUCGCUUCACGUAAUCUUAGAGAGACUCUAUUUCUCUCUGUUUUACGAACAUUAAUCCCAUAGGUGUGCUCAUGAUCGUUCUGUGAGCCUUGAACCUUCUUAGAAACAUCUGACCCAAUUGGGACAAACUUCGGACUGAGCCUUAAAGAAAAGAUAAGUACCAAUAAUUCGUACUUCCCUUAAGCGUUGUGGAAAAAGAUUUACACUUCGUAGGGUCCAAGGCUUCCAUUACAUUCAUAUAAUCGUUAUAUUGCAUCAGGUAGGCUCGUAGGUCUCUCCUACCCUCGAACAUGUCUUUUAAGACCUUAAAAUCACGCAGUAGACUUAUUGCUGCUACCUCCGGGGCCAAUGGAUUGUUAGAACAGAAAAGUCAGUCCAUGUCCCUAGACUCAAGAGGCAAUGCCCUCACAUCUCGCCACAAUGCAUCCAUCUCAUUUUGCCAUUCCCUCACAUGUAAGCCUGGGCCUUCAUCCUACAUGGUCAUUUUAUCGUGAAAGUCAAAAUCAUCAGAUUGUACCUUUAUUUUAAGUUCUUCAUUUUGUUUUAAUAACUCCUGUUGAAAAGUUUGUUGCUGUUCAAACCAUGCAUUUUGUGCAACCAUUUGUUCCCUCAUAAACUUCAUCUACUCUUAAAGAGCAAGGAAUUGUUGCGGUGAUGCUUAUUGGUUGGAAGGAAGUGGCAAUCUGUGACCAGAAGGAAGGUUUAAGUCGAAUGGGCUUGAAACUCUCGGGUGAGCCAAAUUACCUAGAUUUUUCAACCGAUCAGCAAACUAGUCGACAAACAAGUCCGUUCCAGCAAGUUGGCUGCAAUAACUCUAGGCUUCAAGUUGUCCAAGUGAAAGAUCGAAAGGGAAAUUUUCAUUCGGGUAAGCCAUCAUAACUUUGGCAAUUUUUAUCAAACUGAAAAGAAAUUCGUUGGUCGAAAAUAUGUCCACGCUCACCGCACCAAUUGUUGAAUUUUUUUUGUUGUGUCUCAUUGAAGGGGACAAUCAAAUAUUUAUACACAUGAUUAUUGUUCAUGAAAUUGACAUUCUUGGUAGGCUCUAUGCAUGUUGGACACGUGUAUUGUCUGGUCUGUUUGCUGGACUUCGUAGCCCUCACAUACGAACUCCUUGCACAUGUGAACUGGGAUUGCAAACUACCCUUGUUAGCCCCUUUAGCGAACCCCCACUACAAGACCUACACACAUCCAACUGGUUAGGCCCAACCGAGUCACAGGUAGGCAAUUUAUAUUUUAUCUAGGUUUUGGGUUGGUGAACACAAAUACAUAAUAAAAGUACAAGAGCUUAAUAUUUAAAUAUAAAAAUUUAGAGGUUAAUUUUUUUAAUUUUAAUAGUACAAGGAACUCUAUGCAGCCAUAACAAAGAAAUUUCAAAAAAAAAUUACCAUAGUGAAGAAAAAGAGACUUUUUCUGUCAGAUUAGGUUUCUCUUUCUCUCUCUCUGAGAGUCUCUCUGACAGUCCUAUACUCUUAACUCUUAUCCUUUUUGCGGCUAGGGUUUUUCUUUCUACAGUACCUUUUCUAACUUUUUUUUUUAAUUUAUUAGAAGAUUGGUUUGGUUUCAUAAUAUAAAAAUCUAAUGGAAGUUUUGUAAGAGUAAGGGAUUUUGUGGUUAUUAUAAAAGAAAGAUUCUAGGGGGUUUGGAAGUGGUUAGUGUGGAUUGUUCAUUAAAAAAAAGAAAUGGCUGGUUUGAACCCUUUUGAUUUGUUGGGGGAUGACGACACUGGGGAACUAUCAUUGCUGAUCGCUGCUCAGCAAAAGGCCGUCGCAGCGGCCACUGCCACUGCUGCUGCUCCAAAGAAGGGCCCAGCAAAGCCUCAAGCUAAGACGCUGCCUGCAACUCAGGCUAAGCUUCCCUCCAAGCCUCUCCCUCCUACUCAGGCUGGUAAGUUUUCUCUAUCAAAGUGACUCAUUAUUUUCUGCUCUCUGUAUUGGGUCUUGAGUUUACCCGAUUGUGUUAAAUUCAAGUUUCAUUUUCUUAAUGGUCGAACUCUGGGGGGGGGGGUUAGUGGGUUUAAGUUUAUUCUGCUUCGGUUUCGUUUCUUGUAAAGUGCAGUUGGACUCUGAUUGUUAAAGACUAUUUGUUGUCGAUUAUUUACUUGGAAUAUAAUCAUUGAGAGUUUCUUAUCUGUAUAGACUUACUUCUUAUAGUGAACAGAGCAAAAGAUUCCGGAACGCAUAUUGGUUUGUUGCUGUUAUUUCUUUUCUAAAAUGAAAUCCAAUGCUGUCAAGUUGCACUCAAGCUACUAGAAUCCUUAUAUGUGGUAUAAAAGCUUAAGAUAUAUGGUAAUGAUAAUACACCUCUAAAAGAUAGAUCAAACUUUAAUCUCAUUAUCCUACAAAAAAAUGAAAUGUACAAUUUUUUGUUGGCCAAUGUGCAUGGUUUUUUUUUUUUUGGAUCUCAUGUCUGUUGUUGAAUAAUCAAGCAUUGAGAAGUAGAGUGUUUGGUAGUGUUCUUCUCUUCUUAGUAAAGGUAAAAUUAAUGAAAAAUAAAAUAAAAAAUGAAUGAAACUAAAGAAAACUUCAAUCAAGCAAACUUCUAAUCCAAUGCAUCUUGCCAAGAGGUCUUGAGGCGCUUUUGUUGUUUGAUGCUGAGGCACAGUGCCAAAGGUGCAUGCCUUAACUAUAGAAAUGAAAUCUGCAUUCUGUGGGGAACUCUUGUCUUUUAUAUCAUAUUCUCUGAAAGUGUCAAUUGGUGUUCCAUCAAAAAGGAGUUCUUUUUUACUCCUUUUCAAAGUGCUUAUGCAUUGGUAUGCAAUUUGUUUUUACUGAAGCUUGAUAGUUGUAGCUUUGAUAUCAUCUUGAUAGUUAUCACAGUUACUCGAAAUAUUUUUUUAUCUAAUAGUCAAUUAUAGUUUCUUUAUAGCUCUCUUGGGCUUAUCACUGAUGUCGUGUUCUUUUAAAGUGAGGGAGGCAAAGAAUGAAGGUGCUCGUGGCGGAGGCCGUGGUGGGCGAGGAUAUGGACGUGGUCGUGGUGGUAGCAGUGGAUACAGACGUGAUUUUGCAAAUGAUGAGAAUUCCUUCAGCAAUAGUGCUGUACCUGAAGAUGGAGAGAGUGGAAAACCCUCUGAAAGGCGUGGCUAUGGUGGUCCUCGACCUUACCGUGGUGGUCGCCGUGGCGGUUUCAGUAAUGGGGAAGAUGCAGAUGGGGAGCAACCUCGCAGGUUGUAUGAACGCCGUAGUGGGACU